RNAcentral lists this ribosomal RNA (383 nucleotides) under uncultured bacterium. RNAcentral describes it as "bacterial SSU rRNA". It matches the Rfam family "Bacterial small subunit ribosomal RNA", at positions 28 to 418 of the family's 1533-position model. The record is from RNAcentral.
GACGAACGCUGGCGGCGUGCAUAACACAUGCAAGUCAAGGGGGCCCGCAAGGGCAACCGGCGAACGGGUGCGUAACACGUGAGCAACCUACCUCUGUGUGGGGCAUAGCCGGCCUAACGGCCGGGUAAUUCCGCAUACGAUCUUUCGGGGACAUCCCUGGGAGAACAAACGCUUCGGCGGCACGGAGAGGGGCUCGCGGCCUAUCAGCUAGUUGGUGAGGGUAACGGCCCACCAAGGCGACGACGGGUAGCUGGUCUGAGAGGAUGGCCAGCCACAUUGGGACUGAGAAACGGCCCAGACUCCUACGGGAGGCAGCAGUGGGGAAUCUUGCGCAAUGGCCUAACGGCUGACGCAAGCGACGCCGCGUGAGGGAUGAAGCUCUU